RNAcentral lists this long non-coding RNA (920 nucleotides) under Marmota monax (woodchuck). Lineage: Eukaryota; Metazoa; Chordata; Mammalia; Rodentia; Sciuridae. The record is from RNAcentral.
CUCGCGCCUUCCGAAGGCAGCAGGGCUAGUCCGCGAGGCCGCAGCAGGGCUAGUCCGCGAGGCCUCCGCAGCGCCUCUUAGUUUGUCCUCUUCUGCCUCCAGAGUCGGUGCGUCCCUGAACACCCACGCUGCGCCCAAAUCUGGCUGCUCUGCUAAAUGACCGCGACAAGCGCAGGGACGACAGUGUGGUCCCAGCUUCUUCCUGCUCCAGGACCUCCGGGCGCGGCGGGGAGUGUCCGGGUCCCACCCUGAGCAGGUUGAAUCUUUUUAUCUGCUUGGGAAGUCCCCUGCGUUUCAGGUGUGUGGGCGUCCGGGGUUGGGGGUGUAAACAUGCGCGUCAGUUGGUUUCCACAGAUGGUCGCUGGGAGCCCUACCCCAGCCAAGGCGAAGAGCGCAGAGUCUGCACCUUGGACUGCAGAACCCACAUCUGCUUGGAGACAUCAUCCAGGGGCCGUGGAGUGGGACCACAUUAGCAAAGCUCUUCCUCUCUGCGGAGGGAUGCUGAUGGACGUGAAGGAGACCACUCCCCUACCACUGAGCUAAAAAGCACCUGGCCGGGAGUCAUCCCCAAGUCGGCCCCUCCUGACUUGGCUAGCCCCUACGAGCUGGAGGGAGGGAGAAGCAGGCAACAGCCGGAAAACCGGGGAGAAGGGGCUUCCCGUGACUGAACAAGGUAGUGGAGUGAGAAUCCAGACUUCAUUCCCCCCCCCCACACACACACACACACAAACACACAUCAAAUAUUUACAGUAAAAAGAUUUCUAAGGGCGUCUGAAGAAUCAACAGGCAGGUUGGGAAGUCAACAGGUCACCAACACCAGGCUGGGUCAAUAGCUCCAUUAGACCGUUAUCUUUCCCAAAUAGGCAGGGCAUAAGGGAGGAGUGUCAGUUCCUAAAGCUGUGGCUUCCUACGCAGGUGAG